This 429-nucleotide ribosomal RNA is filed under the name Bacteroidota bacterium. RNAcentral's name for it is "Bacteroidetes bacterium partial 16S ribosomal RNA". It matches the Rfam family "Bacterial small subunit ribosomal RNA", at positions 355 to 776 of the family's 1533-position model. The record is from RNAcentral. Lineage: Bacteria; Pseudomonadati; Bacteroidota.
UAGGGAAUCUUCCGCAAUGGACGCAAGUCUGACGGAGCAACGCCGCGUGAGUGAAGAAGGAUUUCGGUUCGUAAAACUCUGUUGUUAGAGAAGAACAGCGCAUAGAGUAACUGUUAUGCGUGUGACGGUAUCUAACCAGAAAGCCACGGCUAACUACGUGCCAACAGCCGCGGUAAUACGUAGGUGGCAAGCGUUGUCCGGAUUUAUUGGGCGUAAAGCGAGCGCAGGCGGUCAAUUAAGUCUGAUGUGAAAGCCCCCGGCUCAACCGGGGAGGGUCAUUGGAAACUGGUUGACUUGAGUGCAGAAGAGGAGAGUGGAAUUCCAUGUGUAGCGGUGAAAUGCGUAGAUAUAUGGAGGAACACCAGUGGCGAAGGCGACUCUCUGGUCUGUAACUGACGCUGAGGCUCGAAAGCGUGGGUAGCAAACAGG